GCACGAACGAUACUCCACAACCUGUCUCGGGCGUUUCACCUGGGCCAGUGGGUAUCCUGGUGGGACCCUGCGUUGGAUAGCCGGCGUGGAGGCGGAACAGCAAUCCUUAUACGCAGCGCACUUCUCACCAGCGGGGCAUUAACCUUCCCGGGGACACAGGCCCAACCUACGAUGUCAGGAGACGGUCGUCUUUUGCGCUUACCCAUAUGCUGGGGAGACCAUACCUUUACUUUAAUCAGUGCUUACCUUCCUAGCGCUGAUCCCCCGGCCCAAAGGACUUUUAUUCAGCAACGUCUACGGCCGCUUAUGGCGGAUGCUGGACUCCAUAUCUGGGCAGCUGACUUUAACUUUGUCAACAAUCCUGACCUCGAUGCAUCCACUCCGUCGGCACGGAGGAAUGAUGUCAACACCACGGCAGAGUUUAACGUUACUUGCCCGGGGAUGAUUGACACGUUCCGCCUAAUACACCCCCGCCGGCGUGCUUACACAUACGUCCAUCCAGCGGGAGCUUCCCGUAUUGAUCGCAUAAUGGUAUCGCAAGCCCUGGAAAUGGCAGUCUAUGGCAGCGAUACAGCCUCAGGGACUCCAGCGGAUCACCGGAUCACCCACACUACCAUCCGGGCAGCCAAUAGUACGCACACACCAGGACCUGGCCUACCCCGUACUAGGCUUCACUUCCUGGAUCAUGAUGACCUAUGUGCAAACUUAAAUAUGUGGGUAAAUAACACGGCAGAAUCAGCCCCCACGCACCCGGACGACCUCAUCCAAUGGUGGCCAGGCUUCAAACGGGCGCUGGCCCUAUCAGCUGGCCGCCUAAACCAACAGGCACGCAUGCGUCAGCUAAUUGGAGCUGCAGACGAGGCUGCUGCCCAAGCCCAGGCCGAC
RNAcentral lists this long non-coding RNA (885 nucleotides) under Volvox carteri. Its description in RNAcentral is "long non-coding RNA (VCAR_LNC002357)". Lineage: Eukaryota; Viridiplantae; Chlorophyta; Chlorophyceae; Chlamydomonadales; Volvocaceae. The record is from RNAcentral.